RNAcentral lists this long non-coding RNA (741 nucleotides) under Coturnix japonica (Japanese quail). Its description in RNAcentral is "lncRNA (ENSCJPG00005006036.1)". Lineage: Eukaryota; Metazoa; Chordata; Aves; Galliformes; Phasianidae. The record is from RNAcentral.
AUGGCCUCCCUGAUAAUGCUACUGAGUCUUCUGAUUGAUGUUUCACCUGGAGUCUUUUUCAUGUGUAAGAACGUCAGAGGAAUUUUCAUUCACAUGCCCGUUUGUAAUGGAAUAGAAAAGCAGGAGCAAACAUUAAGGCAGGAGAGUUCAGUCCCCGCGGCACUGUACAGACACAGACAGAGACAAGCUGCAGAAUACCUUCUAUUUCACACCCAAAGCUCUGCAAAAAUUACCCAGUCUUCUCUGACAAGUGAUCCUCUUAGCUGUCAAACUCUGGCUCACAUGUUCAGUACUUGAAAAUUGAAAUCUUAAAGGGCUAUAUUAAGAAGAUAAAUGCUUUCUAGAGAUGAGGAAAGAUAUUUUUAUGUAUCUAAUAAGUCACACUUGAUAGUGGCAAUAGCAUUACUUGGGUUAUGCUGUUAUUAAUAUUAGGCAAAAACUUAGAUAUCGGCUGUGAGAUUCUUUUUUUACCACUAGUCCAGAAUUCCACCAGACAACAAUUUAGCUCUUAAUUCUUUUCUGACAGGUUAAUUUUACCUUUCUUAUGUAAGGGCAUAGGAGUGUGCAUGGUUAGAGGAGAAUGAAUCCUGGUAUGUAUUGAGGUGUGAGAUGAGGACCCUUCAUUACUGGGAGAACAGUGACCACAGUGUGUGGAGUUUUCUCAAAUGUGUUUAAUUUGCUCAGCCAAGAAUUGUUCAGCACUGACUGUCAAAUAAAAGCAUAAAAAAAAAAGUUUUCUCA